RNAcentral lists this ribosomal RNA (909 nucleotides) under uncultured bacterium. RNAcentral's name for it is "bacterial SSU rRNA". It matches the Rfam family "Bacterial small subunit ribosomal RNA", at positions 8 to 917 of the family's 1533-position model. The record is from RNAcentral.
AGAGUUUGAUCCUGGCUCAGGAUGAACGCUAGCGAUAGGCUUAACACAUGCAAGUCGAGGGGCAGCAGGGCUUUCGGGCCGCUGGCGACCGGCGCACGGGUGCGUAACGCGUAUGCAACUUGCCUUACAGAGGAGGAUAACCCGUUGAAAGACGGACUAAUACUGCGUAUGCUCACAGGGAGGCAUCUCCUGGUGAGGAAAAGAAAUUCGCUGUAAGAUAGGCAUGCGUCCCAUUAGCUAGAUGGUGAGGUAACGGCUCACCAUGGCGACGAUGGGUAGGGGAACUGAGAGGUUGAACCCCCACACUGGUACUGAGACACGGACCAGACUCCUACGGGAGGCAGCAGUGAGGAAUAUUGGUCAAUGGGCGAGAGCCUGAACCAGCCAAGUCGCGUGAAGGACGAAGGUCUUAUGGAUUGUAAACUUCUUUUAUAGGGGAAUAAAGAUAAGUACGUGUACUUAGUUGAAUGUACCCUAUGAAUAAGCAUCGGCUAACUCCGUGCCAGCAGCCGCGGUAAUACGGAGGAUGCGAGCGUUAUCCGGAUUUAUUGGGUUUAAAGGGUGCGUAGGCGGUCUGUUAAGUCAGCGGUGAAAUUUUGGGGCUUAACCCCGAACGUGCCGUUGAAACUGGCGGACUUGAGUGUAGAUGAGGUAGGCGGAAUUCGUGGUGUAGCGGUGAAAUGCAUAGAUAUCACGAGGAACUCCAAUUGCGCAGGCAGCUUACUAAGGUACAACUGACGCUCAAGCACGAAGGCGUGGGUAUCAAACAGGAUUAGAUACCCUGGUAGUCCACGCAGUAAACGAUGAUUACUGGGCGUAUGCGAUAUACAGUAUGCUCCUGAGCGAAAGCGUUAAGUAAUCCACCUGGGGAGUACGCCGGCAACGGUGAAACUCAAAGGAAUUGACGGA